CUGAACUUAAGCAUAUCAAUAAGCGGAGGAAAAGAAACCAACCGGGAUUGCCUCAGUAACGGCGAGUGAAGCGGCAAGAGCUCAAAUUUGAAAGCUGGCUCCUUCGGGGUCCGCAUUGUAAUUUGCAGAGGAUGCUUCGGGUGCAGCCCCCGUCUAAGUGCCCUGGAACGGGCCGUCAUAGAGGGUGAGAAUCCCGUAUGGGGCGGGGUGUCUGCGUCCGUGUGAAGCUCCUUCGACGAGUCGAGUUGUUUGGGAAUGCAGCUCUAAAUGGGUGGUAAAUUUCAUCUAAAGCUAAAUACUGGCCGGAGACCGAUAGCGCACAAGUAGAGUGAUCGAAAGAUGAAAAGCACUUUGAAAAGAGAGUUAAACAGCACGUGAAAUUGUUGAAAGGGAAGCGCUUGCAACCAGACUCGCUCGCGGGGUUCAGCCGGGCUUCGGCCCGGUGUACUUCCCCGCGGGCGGGCCAGCGUCGGUUUGGGCGGCCGGUCAAAGGCCUCCGGAAUGUAGCGCCCUUCGGGGCGCCUUAUAGCCGGGGGUGCAAUGCGGCCAGCCUGGACCGAGGAACGCGCUUCGGCACGGACGCUGGCAUAAUGGUUGUAAACGACCCGUCUUGAAACACGGACCAAGGAGUCUAACAUCUACGCGAG
RNAcentral lists this ribosomal RNA (647 nucleotides) under Aspergillus terreus. RNAcentral describes it as "LSU rRNA". It matches the Rfam family "Eukaryotic large subunit ribosomal RNA", at positions 28 to 690 of the family's 3401-position model. The record is from RNAcentral. Lineage: Eukaryota; Fungi; Ascomycota; Eurotiomycetes; Eurotiales; Aspergillaceae.